This 100-nucleotide ribosomal RNA is filed under the name Staphylococcus aureus. Lineage: Bacteria; Bacillati; Bacillota; Bacilli; Caryophanales; Staphylococcaceae. The record is from RNAcentral.
AAGGAGGUCACACCUGUUCCCAUGCCGAACACAGAAGUUAAGCUCCUUAGCGUCGAUGGUAGUCGAACAUACGUUCCGCUAGAGUAUAACGUUGCCAGGC